Molecule: ribosomal RNA, 233 nt
Filed under: Microbacterium sp. ARD31
Lineage: Bacteria; Bacillati; Actinomycetota; Actinomycetes; Micrococcales; Microbacteriaceae
Description: partial 16S ribosomal RNA
Rfam family: Bacterial small subunit ribosomal RNA
Source: RNAcentral
UUUACGGAGAGUUUGAUCCUGGCUCAGGAUGAACGCUGGCGGCGUGCUUAACACAUGCAAGUCGAACGGUGAAGCAGAGCUUGCUCUGUGGAUCAGUGGCGAACGGGUGAGUAACACGUGAGCAACCUGCCCCUGACUCUGGGAUAAGCGCUGGAAACGGCGUCUAAUACCGGAUAUGAGCUGCGAUCGCAUGGUCAGCAGUUGGAAAGAUUUUUCGGUCUGGGAUGGGCUCG